This 468-nucleotide ribosomal RNA is filed under the name uncultured bacterium. RNAcentral describes it as "partial 16S ribosomal RNA". It matches the Rfam family "Bacterial small subunit ribosomal RNA", at positions 28 to 507 of the family's 1533-position model. The record is from RNAcentral.
GACGAACGCUGGCGGCGUGCUUAACACAUGCAAGUCGAACGGAAACGCCCUGCUUUUGUGGGGUGCGCGAGUGGCGAACGGGUGAGUAACACGUGAGUAACCUGCCCCUGACUUUUGGAUAACUUCAGGAAACUGCGGCUAAUACUACAUAGGAGCUCCUGCUGCAUGGUGUGGGUUGGAAAGUUUCGUCGGGCGGGGAUGGAUUCGGGGCUUAUCUGCGUGUUGGUGGGGGAGUGGCUUCCCAAGGCUUUGACAGCUAGCCGGCCUGUGAGGGUGACCGGGCACAUGGGGCCUGCGGUAGGCAGCAGACGGGUACGGGGGGCAGCAGGGGGGAGUCUUGCACAAUGAGACGGAGCGUGAUGAGGCAGCGUCGCGGUCGGGAUGACGGCCUGCGGGUUGUGAACCGCUUUCGCCUGUGACGAAGCGUGAGUGACGGUAAUGGGUAAAGAAGCACCGGCUAACUACGUG